UGGGGUGUAGCUCAGAAAUGGAGUGCUUGGCUGGCAUCCCUGAGUCCCUGGGUUCAACCCACAGCACCUCAG
Molecule: non-coding RNA, 72 nt
Organism: Mus musculus (house mouse)
Lineage: Eukaryota; Metazoa; Chordata; Mammalia; Rodentia; Muridae
Source: Rfam